AUGGAUCUGGUGAACGGCGCGCUCAACUGGGCGGCGAUGCCCGCCAUGGUCGCCUCCCUCCUGCUCUUCUACCCGCCCUACUACCUCUUCAAGCUCUGCUACUCCUUCCUCUCCUACCUCUUCCCCGACGACCUCAAGCGCAAGGUCGUCCUCAUCACCGGCGCCUCCUCCGGCAUCGGCGAGCAACUGGCCUACCAGUACGCCACCAAGGGGGCAUGCCUUGCCCUGCUCGCCAGGAGGGAGUGGAGCCUGCGGCAGGUCGCCGACCGCGCCUUCGAGCUCGGCGCGCCCGACGUCAUCAUUCUCCCCGGCGACGUCGCAGACCCCGACGACUGCAACAGAUUUGUUCAGGCCACAAUCGACCACUACGGCCGAUUGGACCAUCUUGUGUGCAACGCUGGAAUUGCGAGCGUGGGCGCUUUUCAGGAGAUUCCUGACGUUACUAACUACAGCCCGCAGCUUGAUGUCAACUUCUGGGGUGCAGUUCAGUCCACUUUUGCUGCUCUGCCCCAUCUUAAAAGGACCCGAGGGAGGAUCGUGGUCACCGCCUCCGCAACCGGAUGGAACCCUGUUCCGCGAAUGGUUUUCUAUAAUGCCGCCAAUGCCGCACUGAUUAACUUCUUCGAGACCCUACGGUCGGAGCUUGGUAGUGAAGUUGGCAUCACAAUAGUGACGCCUGGGUGGAUCGAGUCCGAGAUGUCCAAAGGCAAGUUUCUCAAGGAGCACGGCGGCGUGGAGGUUGAUCAAGAAUAUCGAGAUGCCCAAAUCGGUCUCUUCCCGGUGGAGUACGCGAAGAACUGCGCGAGGGCCAUGGUGCAGGCAGCUCGCCAAGGUGACCGUUACCUCACCGUGCCGUCAUGGUUCGGAACAAUGUACCUGUGGAGGGUGUUUGCGCCGGAGGUCGUCGAGUUCUGCUACCGCCUCCUGUAUAUGCACGGCCAUGGCGGUGGCGACCAGACCGACGCGCCGAGCAAGACGAUGGCCCAGGGUGGCGGGAAGCAGAUGCUGUACCCCUCCUCGCUGCGCUCUUCGGACGUCAAAAACGACUAG
This 1050-nucleotide ribosomal RNA is filed under the name Triticum aestivum (bread wheat). RNAcentral describes it as "partial small subunit ribosomal RNA". Lineage: Eukaryota; Viridiplantae; Streptophyta; Magnoliopsida; Poales; Poaceae. The record is from RNAcentral.